Molecule: unclassified non-coding RNA, 350 nt
Filed under: soil metagenome
Description: partial contains 5.8S ribosomal RNA, internal transcribed spacer 2, and large subunit ribosomal RNA
Rfam family: 5.8S ribosomal RNA (bases 1-120)
Source: RNAcentral
GAUGAAGAACGCAGCGAAAUGCGAUAAGUAAUGUGAAUUGCAGAAUUCAGUGAAUCAUCGAAUCUUUGAACGCACAUUGCGCCCGCCAGUAUUCUGGCGGGCAUGCCUGUUCGAGCGUCAUUACAACCCUCAGGCCCCCGGGCCUGGCGUUGGGGAUCGGCGGAGCCCCCCGUGGGCACACGCCGUCCCCCAAAUGCAGUGGCGGUCCCGCCGCAGCUUCCAUCGCGUAGUAGCUAACACCUCGCGACUGGAGAGCGGCGCGGCCACGCCGUAAAACACCCAACUCUUCUGAAGUUGACCUCGAAUCAGGUAGGAAUACCCGCUGAACUUAAGCAUAUCAAAAGCGGAGA